RNAcentral lists this unclassified non-coding RNA (400 nucleotides) under soil metagenome. RNAcentral's name for it is "partial contains 5.8S ribosomal RNA, internal transcribed spacer 2, and large subunit ribosomal RNA". The stretch from base 1 to 122 matches the Rfam family "5.8S ribosomal RNA", at positions 35 to 154 of the family's 154-position model. The record is from RNAcentral.
GAUGAAGAACGUAGCGAAAUGCGAUACUUGGUGUGAAUUGCAGAAUCCCGUGAACCAUCGAGUCUUUGAACGCAAGUUGCGCCUCAAGCCAUUAGGUUGAGGGCACGUCUGCCUGGGCGUCACAUAUCGUUGCCUGAUGCCAGUUUCCUCGUGAUGGGUGACUGUGCAGGGCGAAUGAUGGCUUCCCGUGAGCAUUGUUGCCUCAUGGUUGGUUGAAAAUUGAGUCCUUGGUAGGGAGCGCCGUGAUAGAUGGUGGUUGAGUGACGAACGAGACCCAAUCAUGUGAGACCCCUACCGAAUUUGGCCUUCAUGACCCACAUGCGUCUUUGGAACGCUCAUGACGAGACCUCAGGUCAGGCGGGGCUACCCGCUGAACUUAAGCAUAUCAAUAAGCGGAGGA